This 217-nucleotide long non-coding RNA is filed under the name Elaeis guineensis (African oil palm). Its description in RNAcentral is "long non-coding RNA (EGUI_LNC051321)". Lineage: Eukaryota; Viridiplantae; Streptophyta; Magnoliopsida; Arecales; Arecaceae. The record is from RNAcentral.
AGGGGAGAGUCCCUUUAAUGACAGGGACUUGAUAAAGCGACUGAUCGACGGCUGCAUCCUACCCGAGGUCAUCUAGAGGAUUGAUCGCGUCGAUCUCGAACAGUGGGUUUGGGACUCCCUAGGAUCCUUUCUUGAGGUAAACAGGUCCACCUUUCCCCUUCUCCUCGCUCCUUCAUUUAAUCAAUUCCUCAACUUUCAUUUUGACCUCCUGGCCGCC